Molecule: long non-coding RNA, 686 nt
Organism: Phascolarctos cinereus (koala)
Lineage: Eukaryota; Metazoa; Chordata; Mammalia; Diprotodontia; Phascolarctidae
Source: RefSeq, a predicted model, not a curated record
CUACUCUUCAGGAUCACCUAAAGGCGGAGAAACGGGAUCAUAAGGGAUUAUGGUUCUCUGCUGCCAUUCCUGCCUUGAAAGGAAGAGCAGAGUGGGCUUUCCAACUGCUUCGGUAAACAGAUACAGAGCAGCCCUCACCUCCUUCUCUGCUUCACAUUUUGAUGACCGGAGAGCCCACAGCCAAAUCGCCAUCCAAGAUACACAAUCAUCCCCAUCGUAAAUACGUUUGCUCCCUGUCAAGGGCUCACCCCCUGACACCAAUAGGCUUAUGAGUGUUUGAAGAGGAUUCCAGGAAAGAAACCAACUGUCUUGAGUGGCUAGAACCCAAUUAAUCAGUCAGAGACUCUCCCUGAAUAAGAAGAUUGCUGAGGGCUGUGAAAUGUCCUGUGAAAUCUGAGGAAGCCACCGCGGCCUAAGUCAUAUCACUGCAUCUGGAGCCUAAGAACAAAUCUCAUCAUAUGAAACUCACUUCCUUCUCCCCCAUGAUGGAAGCUCCUUGAGGGCAUUUUUUGCCUUUGCAUGCCCAGUGGCUGGUGUUAUGUGCAGAGGCUAGCCCUGUGCCUGGCACACAGUAGAUACGCAAUGUAUAUAUACUGGUUGAUGUAGCACCUGCAUAGAACCUAACCUCUCUGAGAGCAGCGACUCUUUUUCAUUUUUGUCUUUAUAUCUCCAACUGUCUAGCACAA